GUGGAUAUAGCUCAGUGGUAGAGCACAUGCUUAGCAUGCAUGAGGUCCUGGGUUCAGUCCCCAGUCCCUCCA
RNAcentral lists this transfer RNA (72 nucleotides) under Camelus dromedarius (Arabian camel). It matches the Rfam family "tRNA". From Rfam's summary of the family: Transfer RNA (tRNA) molecules are approximately 80 nucleotides in length. Their secondary structure includes four short double-helical elements and three loops (D, anti-codon, and T loops). Lineage: Eukaryota; Metazoa; Chordata; Mammalia; Artiodactyla; Camelidae. The record is from Rfam by way of RNAcentral. RNAcentral also lists the same sequence under 1 other name.